Molecule: long non-coding RNA, 508 nt
Organism: Mustela erminea (ermine)
Lineage: Eukaryota; Metazoa; Chordata; Mammalia; Carnivora; Mustelidae
Exons: 4
Source: RefSeq, a predicted model, not a curated record
AGGAAGUCUGACGGCUUCCGUUGCACACCGGAUUCCCUUGCACACCGGGGCCCAGAGCCCAAGGCCAGCCAGGCAAAUGCCUGCCCCUGCCCCCGGCCCCGCCCCCUGCCCGGACUGUAGGACACCUAGGAGACACCACCGCCCAGGCCUGCCCACCGCCCAGGCCUGCCCACCGCCCAGGCCUGCCUGGGCAGACGGCGCGACGCCCCUAAGCAAUCUGAACACGCCAAGCUGCAGUGAAUCCAGGUACAGAAGUCUGGCUGCUCUUCGUGGGAUGUAAACACCCAGAAGAGGAAUUGCUGGAUCAUAAGGGAAAUAGUAGCCAAGAGAGAGGACGGCUCUCUUUCAAUUCCAAGAGUCCACACCAGAAAGAGGAAUUCCGCCUGUGGACUUGGAAGUUGGGGACACUUGCAUUGGGACCCCGACCCUCUCCCCCAACAGCAACACUGGAUUGAACUCUCAAGAUGGAAGAAAUUUGAAAACAAUAUUAAAAAAAAUUUUACAACAA